GAUGAACGCUGGCGGCGUGCCUAAUACAUGCAAGUCGAGCGAACGGACGAGACGCUUGCUUCUCUGAUGUUAGCGGCGGACGGGUGAGUAACACGUGGAUACCCUACCUAUAAGACUGGGAUAACUUCGGGAAACCGGAGCUAAUACCGGAUGAUAUUUUGAACCUCAUGGUUCAAAAGUGAAAGACGGUCUUGCUGUCACUUAUAGAUGGAUCCGCGCUGCAUUAGCUAGUUGGUAAGGUAACGGCCUACCAAGGCAACGAUGCAUAGCCGACCUGAGAGGGUGAUCGGCCACACUGGAACUGAGACACGGUCCAGACUCCUACGGGAGGCAGCAGUAGGGAAUAUUCCGCAAUGGGCGAAAGCCUGACGGAGCAACGCCGCGUGAGUGAUGAAGGUCUUCGGAUCGUAAAACUCUGUUAUUAGGGAAGAACAUAUGUGUAAGUAACUGUGCACAUCUUGACGGUACCUAAUCAGAAAGCCACGGCUAACUACGUG
RNAcentral lists this ribosomal RNA (497 nucleotides) under uncultured bacterium. Its description in RNAcentral is "partial 16S ribosomal RNA". It matches the Rfam family "Bacterial small subunit ribosomal RNA", at positions 28 to 507 of the family's 1533-position model. The record is from RNAcentral.